UGACUNGAGUGCAGAAGGGGAGAGUGGAAUUCCAUGUGUAGCGGUGAAAUGCGUAGAUAUAUGGAGGANCACCAGUGGCGAAAGCGGCUCUCUGGUCUGUCACUGACGCUGAGGCUCGAAAGCGUGGGUAGCGAACAGGAUUAGAUACCCUGGUAGUNCACGCCGUAAACGAUGAGUGCUAGGUGUUAGGCCCUUUCCGGGGCUUAGUGCCGGAGCUGACGCAAUAAGCACUCCGCCUGGGGAGUACGACCGCAAGGUUGAAACUCAAAGGAAUUGACGGGGGCCCGCACAAGCGGUGGAGCAUGUGGUUUAAUUCGAAGCAACGCGAAGAACCUUACCAGGUCUUGACAUCCCGAUGCUAUUCUUAGAGAUAGGAAGUUACUUCGGUACGUCGGAGACAGGUGGUGCAUGGUUGUCGUCAGCUCGUGUCGUGAGAUGUUGGGUUAAGUCCCGCAACGAGCGCAACACUUAUUGUUAGUUGCCAUCAUUAAGUUGGGCACUCUAGCGAGACUGCCGGUAAUAAACCGGAGGAAGGUGGGGAUGACGUCAAAUCAUCAUGCCCCUUAUGACCUGGGCUACACACGUGCUACAAUGGUCGGUACAACGAGUUGCGAGCCGGUGACGGCAAGCUAAUCUCUGAAAGCCGAUCUCAGUUCGGAUUGGAGGCUGCAAC
This 673-nucleotide ribosomal RNA is filed under the name uncultured bacterium. RNAcentral describes it as "bacterial SSU rRNA". It matches the Rfam family "Bacterial small subunit ribosomal RNA", at positions 638 to 1311 of the family's 1533-position model. The record is from RNAcentral.